Molecule: ribosomal RNA, 447 nt
Filed under: uncultured bacterium
Lineage: Bacteria
Description: bacterial SSU rRNA
Rfam family: Bacterial small subunit ribosomal RNA
Source: RNAcentral
CGCGAACGCUGGCGGCAGGCUUAACACAUGCAAGUCGAGCGGGCGUAGCAAUACGUCAGCGGCAGACGGGUGAGUAACGCGUGGGAACAUACCUUUUGGUUCGGAACAACACAGGGAAACUUGUGCUAAUACCGGAUAAGCCCUUACGGGGAAAGAUUUAUCGCCGAAAGAUUGGCCCGCGUCUGAUUAGCUAGUUGGUGAGGUAACGGCUCACCAAGGCGACGAUCAGUAGCUGGCUGAGAGGAUGAUCAGCCACAUUGGGACUGAGACACGGCCCAAACUCCUACGGGAGGCAGCAGUGGGGAAUAUUGGACAAUGGGCGCAAGCCUGAUCCAGCCAUGCCGCGUGAGUGAUGAAGGCCCUAGGGUUGUAAAGCUCUUUGUGCGGGAAGAUAAUGACGGUACCGCAAGAAUAAGCCCCGGCUAACUUCGUGCCAGCAGCCGCUGU